UAGACGCUUUAUCAGCUGAAUAAUAAAACAAUCGAAUAUCAUUUUAUUUUGAUUCUAAAUUAACACGCAAUUCAUUUAAAUUAUAUUCAAAUUAGUUUGUUUUACUUCCUCAGCGAACAAGUGUAAUUCUCCUUACUUACAUACGCUCCAUUCCACAAAAAACCGCACGUUUCUUGAAAAAAAAAACAGAGAAAUAAUGUGUAACGUUCUAUUUUUGAGAAUUAUACUUAUACUAUAUACUACUACUCAUACUAUCCCAGCCUGGCCUUAAUAAGGGAAUUGAAUAUAUUACAGAUUAACUAGCUUUAGCCUAGAAUUAUAGGAUAGAACAGGGGCCUCGAAAAUGUUAAAUGAAAACAUUUUUCAAUAUUCGAAAACUCACACCUGUUUUUGAUGCACCAACGAUGAAAAUUUUUCAAGUCGAGGCGAAGCUUCUGAGCAUCCACUGAGUCCCUAACACAUGAGAAAAUUGUUAAAUCAUCCGCGAAGAGCAAGAAAUUCGAAAAAGUCGCAACGUGGCCUUCGUUUGAGCAUCGUAUUACUGUCGAUGAAUAGUGAAAGUUGUACACAUUUGAAAGAUUUUGUAAUGGAGUAAAUUGAACAAAACCAAAUGGAAUCAUCUUCGGAAGGUUAGUAAAAUACGAGAAAUCUUUAGUACAUAUCAAUACCUCGACACAAAAUUUUUAGCUGCAGCAAUACGUAAAUACAUUUUUUGCAAUUUUUUUUAUAAAAUUUGAGUUUUCAAACUGUAUAGUAAUACAACGCCGUCAUAUGCUGCUUUGAAACCUAUUAAAGGUUACUCAAAAAAGUAAUGGUUACUGAAUAAAACAAGAUUCAGCUGCUACCACUUGCUACCUUGCGACCCCGAAAACAUAUAAAUUAACAUGCAUCUUGAUUAUGUUUUAGAAUAUACGCUACUUCACGUGAGGGGGUGGCCAAUAGGGGUGGAGGGGGGUGGAUUUUCAAAAUUUUAAGAUCAAAUUCGUAAUCAGCGACCCCGACAACCCCCGAGUAAGAAAUUUUGAAUCAAUUACUUAAUUUUUUGAGUUUUGGCCAGCUUUUCGGGAAUCGGCCGCACUGUGCGUCGGGGCAUACUUUCAGCUAGUUUUUCUGCAUAUUCUACCGGAAAAGACCUCCAAAUUUUCCAAAUUUGUCGAGAACGUUGAUCUAAAUUACAUGGCUUGCGUCUGCGAAACUGCAUUUUCAUCAAAGCCCACACAUUUUCUGGGAUUUGCAUCCGGUGACUGACCAAUGGCCAAUCUAAAGUGACAACUCCGUUUUGCGCCUUCCACUCGCUACACGCUCGACUCCGAUGUUUCGGAUCGUUGUCCUCUUGAAGGAUCCAGCUUUCAUUUUUCUUGAUAUACCAUUGCUUAGCAGAUGGUUACAAAGCCUUUUGAUAAAUUUUUUUCAUUUUUCGGCAUUUAAAUUCUCGGUAAAUAAGA
Anastrepha ludens (Mexican fruit fly) is the source of this 1445-nucleotide long non-coding RNA. RefSeq lists it as uncharacterized. The transcript has 3 exons. Lineage: Eukaryota; Metazoa; Arthropoda; Insecta; Diptera; Tephritidae. The record is from RefSeq and is a predicted model, not a curated record.